RNAcentral lists this microRNA precursor (357 nucleotides) under Oryza sativa (Asian cultivated rice). RNAcentral's name for it is "miR5339 stem-loop (osa-MIR5339)". The record is from miRBase by way of RNAcentral. Lineage: Eukaryota; Viridiplantae; Streptophyta; Magnoliopsida; Poales; Poaceae.
AUGCUGUAAGGCAUCGUUAACAGAUAGAGAAUCUUCUCAGAAAAUUCUCCAAAUUUGAUGUUUGAAAUCUGACUGAUUCUUUGAGAACUGUGAGCCUGUAGUUAAGCUAUCAGCUUGAAAUCCUUUACUGCAGCACUACAUACUCCGGAACCUUGUUACUGUUAUUAGCCACCAGCAAGCCAGCUCAAUUUACAGUUAGUGCCACCACAAAAGGACUCUUCCCAGUUAUAUGUAAGCUAUACCACCCAGAUAUUCAGCUACACCUUGAAGGCAUAAGAAGCAUAUGCUUUUGGAUACAAUCAAAUGGAGAAUCUGAUGGGAAUAUUCUUUAUCUGUUAACAACAAACAAAGGCUCAG